This 510-nucleotide ribosomal RNA is filed under the name uncultured bacterium. RNAcentral describes it as "partial 16S ribosomal RNA". It matches the Rfam family "Bacterial small subunit ribosomal RNA", at positions 28 to 507 of the family's 1533-position model. The record is from RNAcentral.
GACGAACGCUGGCGGCGUGCUUAACACAUGCAAGUCGAACGAAGAGCGAUGGAAGCUUGCUUCUAUCAAUCUUAGUGGCGAACGGGUGAGUAACGCGUAAUCAACCUGCCCUUCAGAGGGGGACAACAGUUGGAAACGACUGCUAAUACCGCAUACGAUCUAAUCUCGGCAUCGAGGAUAGAUGAAAGGUGGCCUCUACAUGUAAGCUAUCACUGAAGGAGGGGAUUGCGUCUGAUUAGCUAGAUGGAGGGGUAACGGCCCACCAAGGCGAUGGUCAGUAGCCGGUCUGAUAGGAUGGGCGGCCACAUUGGGAGUGAGACACGGCCCAGACUCAUACGGGUUGCAGCAAUGGGGAUUCUGCCGUAAUGGACGAAAGUCAGACGGAGCAACGCCGCGUGAGCAAUGACGAACUUCGGGUUGUAAAGCUCUGUUAUUCGGGACUAAAGGCCUUCUUGCGAAUAGUGAGAGGGAUUGACGGUACCGGAAUAGAAAGCCACGGCUAACUACGUG